CACCACGCGCAAGCUGUCUGUCUGUCUUGUACAACAUAUUGUGUCUGUGGAAAUGAGAUCAUUUUGUUUGAGUGAGUGGGGGAGAGACUGCUUGGAUCCGCGGAGAUUGAUGUCUGUGCGCAAAUGGGUUUUUGUGUGCAAGUCUGUGUGUGUAGAUUUGUGCGUAUGACAGAGCUGAGAAUAGCAACUGAAGCGUAAGAGAUUUACGGUGCAUUUGAUCAGGAUAUUAGUGAAAAUAAAUAGAAUUGUGCAGCAUGGAUAUCAAUGGGAUGACAGAUCGAUGUUUUUGUGGCUUUUUUGGCGCAGCAAAGCGUUCUGAGUGCAACCAGCAGUUAGUCGAGGCAAAAAACAAACAAAACAAAAACAAAAAAAAAAAACGGAACUUUAGAAGCGCAGCGUUUCGCGGGGGAAACAUUUUAGUAACGGACCGAAUAGAUGAUUAUCUAGGCUAGUGGGGGGAAAUGACUAAAAAAAAAAACGUGAAACGUAAUGAGAUAAAUGAUGACAGGCGAGUGGCGAGAUGUUGAACCUUGUUUCUGCGGAGGCGCGGCGUCGGACAGCCGGUCUGUUGGUUGCUGAACGUGGAAGCAGAUGGCUUGGUGGUCAGUGUGGCGUCGAGUAUUGAACCCAGGGCGUGAUGGAUGAGUGUUUGGAGCUGAUAUGGUGGACAUGUUAAAGCACCCAUCGACAUACAAUUGUGAUUGUCCUGGACAUUGAACGCCUGUGGGCUGUUUCACCCCACCAGCAGGUCAACCUGGUAUGAAGCAACCAAGUCCUGACAUGACCUCACCUCCUCAAGGUCAGUACCCCUGCAAGGGGAUAACUCUUCUGAUGACACACCCCUGAGCUUGGCCAGCUGCAUGAGCACUGCAGACUCCGAGCUGUCAGCGGAAAAGACUGCAUGAACUUUUGGUGGACACUGGAGAUACAUAUGGGCCUCUGAGUUGUGGACUAAGACUGUCACUGAAUAUGAUACUGAGAGAAGAAACAGUGUCUGCCGUUGUGAUCUGAGGGGGAGAAAGCAUUGCUAGCAUCUAUGGAGGACUGAGAACAGAGCCUGCUACAACUGGUGUUCUCUCCAGCUAUGGAAGAUGCAACGUCUGGGUUCCUGCUCUUCCUCCCACCUGACCUGCCACACGUCACUCUGUUCUACGACAGCAACCGCACAGACUGGUAUCAUGAUUCUUUAAGGUAAAACACAGACAGUCAUUCUAGGAAUAUGUAUGUGGCACCUGAACGUUUGGCAGCUGCUACUGCUGAACAAUUUAUAACGAUAUAUGAGGUCGGAUGAAACGAUUUCACACAUUUGUCUUUCUCUCCAUGUUGAGCACCACAAAGAAGUAGGGGCAUGGUUAAACAUUCCCUUCAGGCAACUGAUUGGGCUCCUACCAGCGUGCAGGAUGCACUCUCUGACUGGAAGGAGUUUUUCGGGGUUGCGACGUCAACCUCCCAGGAUUCACAGGUAGCACACGAAAUUUGACAUCUAAAGAUUGUUGUGUAGUUUCAGAUUAUAUUGGAGAUUCCUAAGGAAUGUGAAGAAGGGUCCACAAACCCCCAGACCUCGGCUGAGUGCGCGCUAAGGUCAACGAAGGACAGAAGUGGGGGUUGUUAUUUAGGGCGCUCUGACCAGAGUGCGGAGCCGUGAGGUCCCACCACAGGGUGCCAAAGGAAACACCGAGACCAGCGCAGAACCAGAGUGGGAAAGUCAUCAAAAGAAAGUGGUCAGAACCAAGGUGGACCAGCCCGUACCAGAUGGUGGAACGCACUUCGCACGCUGUCAGGCUCAAAGGAAAAGGCGACACCUGGUAUCAUUGGAGUCAGUGUGCACCCGCUGAGGAACCCCAGCGCUCUCAAGCAUCAGGUGCGCCAGGAUUUACAGGAUAACAUCACAACGCUGUGAAAGGGAGCCUAUCGGUGAAUCCUCUACUCAACCACGGUCAUAAUAAAACCCGUAGAGAGAUUCAGUGAGCUUAAGCUCACUCACAAAAAUCGCGCAAAGGAGACAGAGCAGAAGAACAAAGAAGAAGAGGCGGAAGAAGUGGGCAGUGAGCUGCUCUCCUGCUCCAGAAAAGAAAAAAAAAAAAAAAAAAGCAUAAAACAGAAGAGGCGGAAGUAGUGUUUUUUACCUGACCACAUGGUGUUGUAGCAACUCUUACACUCAGAGAGAAGAAGAAAACCAAUAAGAGACUCAGAGAACUAAAAAAAAAAAAAAAAAAAAAAAUUGUUUUUAUAUAUGUAUUUUUGCAUUUCUUGUUGAAAUUUGUGUGUUUCUCCACAGGUGUUUUUCCACAGGGGCACUAAAAUAGCAUUAACCAAACCCACUAAGGGUUGUGUUGCUGGAGGUCUAUUAUUAUCAGUUGUUAUUGUUACAGGUAUAUUGUGGUAUUUUUGCGACUUUCCAUUCCUGAACAUGUCCAGCUGAUCCACCUAGGAAGACCACAAAGACGCGCUAUUACAGCAGCAUCCAAUGACUGGUGCUUAGAACUUAUUACCAUUACAAUAUAAUCAAGUAUUUACCAAAGGUGUCAUAACAAACCGGUAAAUUUAGGGUUUUCUACUGCAAUAGUUUAUGGGUGAACUCUUAAAAGAGUUCAAAAGGGGGAAUUGUGGAAUGUAUUAACUUUGAUUCAUUUUUAGUACACAUUUAUGAAGGUAUAACAUGCUUUUAUUGUGCAAUAUAUUUGCUUUGAGGCCUGUCUGUUUACCAGAAGAAGAGAAUGUGAAUAGGUUCAGUGUAUGAGUAUCAGGAAAACUUUCAAGGCCAGUCCGAGGCAGUGGGAAAGAACAGAAACUCCAGUUCACAUGCAGCUGGAGAAAAUAAUGAGGGAAGAUAGUUAUUAGGGAGUAAGAUAGCGAUAGGAUGUGUGCGUCAUUCAUUGUGUGACUUUGUAUAAUCUGUGUUCUAACUUUAAUAAAACUAGCCUGAGCGGGAGAGAGAGCGAGAGUUGUUGCCCGGAAUCGGCAGGUGUAUCAUCUCUCCCCUUUGCAAAGGUGAAACUGAAA
Long non-coding RNA from Fundulus heteroclitus (mummichog), 3003 nucleotides. RefSeq lists it as uncharacterized. The transcript is spliced from 3 exons. NCBI's taxonomy places the organism in Eukaryota, Metazoa, Chordata, Actinopteri, Cyprinodontiformes, Fundulidae. The record is from RefSeq and is a predicted model, not a curated record.